Centropristis striata (black sea bass) is the source of this 1213-nucleotide long non-coding RNA. RefSeq lists it as uncharacterized. Lineage: Eukaryota; Metazoa; Chordata; Actinopteri; Perciformes; Serranidae. The record is from RefSeq and is a predicted model, not a curated record. The transcript has 6 exons.
UGGUCAGGAUCAUGAGCGCGAGCGCACUUUGACUCGUAGACGUUGACUUGAGAACCUCCCAGUUAGUGAGUAAACUGACGAAUAUCGGAGCAAGAAUUGUGCGUUUUGUGGAUAAGAGGAGCCGCUUCACUGAGUAGGCCCUCUCAGGAAAACUCCGGAUUGGCCACAGGUCAAGCCACUCCUCCAGUGUGCAGAGUGUGUCAGUGUCAUCAGGAGGAACACCUGAAUCCAGUCCCAAUUACUGCUGAGGCUAGGCAGACAUGUGUUGCAUGCUCUGAAAGCAACCUGUACAUCCACUCUGAAGCAUCAUAGAGGCGAUGCCAAGAUGCUGCGAUGACAGUAAUAAAUCAACUAAAUGAUGUGUCGAUCUCAACAAGGCAAAAACAAUUCAGAUAUUGCAGUACUUGAUAUCAUGAUAUUCUGCAGUUCCAAAAAUCAUGCCCUGGUGAAAAGACAAGAAAAAUUUACUUAGCAGCAGCCAUUCAAUAACUAACACUGUGACUCAGCAUAACUGAGGUUUAAAACAAUUGUUUUGUUUUUUUCUAAUAUUUCAAAGAAGCGAGCAAGAGUAAUUUCUUCAGGUGUUAGUUAAUCUCAGGUGAGAUAAUAAAACCUGACAAUAAUCGUAAAUAAACUCACUGAGGAUGUCAGAUAUUUCGGGCCACUCUCUCUGUUUCUCCAGUAGGAGUCUGAGUUUUGAGCAGAUGUGGACGUGGUUGACGUAGUCCAGCAGGAUCCGGACCACGCUGCCGGAAAGAUGCAUGACGCAGCAAAGACUCAUGAACUCACAGAACUGGAGAGAGGACGAACAUUCACAAGAUGGAUACUUCUGUGGAGAGAAGGGUUUAUUCAAGAGAAGAGCUUUCUUUAUUGAAACGAAGCAAGUCUGGAGGACCAUCACCCUAAUCCAGCUGAGUUGAAGAGGUGUUUUCCUGGUUGUCAUGCUGGUGCAAAAGUUAAGGCUCGGAAAUUGAGAUAUAAGCCUUUUCUGCCGUCAGUCAUCAAGGGGAAUGUCAACUCUCUGCCCAACAAGACUGAUGAACUAGAGAUACUGGUGAAGACUCAUAAAUUAUACUCAUCAAACUCCUCGUCAUGGUGGCAGUAAAAGCACCUCUCCACCUUGUAGCCGUUGUUGAGCAGCAGCCUCAUCAUCACCUCGUCCUUCAGGCAGUACUGCAGCGCCGUGGGGAACACCGUGUCAUUCACCACCGUG